AUGAUUGAUCUUUGCAAAAGAGACUCAUGGAAUUUUGUCUUUGGACAAGCUCUUUGGCAGAUAGUAAGGAGAUAGUCAGCUUUGCUAGGUGUGGCAGUGGUUUUUGUCUUUCACACUGUGAGUGUGAAGUGAAGAAACUCAAGAAAAUAUCUUCAAAUGGCUAUUCAAUUUUUGAUAACUGUUAUCUUCCCGAAAUCACUAAUAGUUUGCUGCUUUGGUUCUAUAAGUCUUUAACCCAUGAAAUUGGACACAUACUUGGACUCUGACAUUACCAGUGGCUAAUCCUGAUAUAAGGCUUUAGCUACCUGAAGACCAUCAGCCUCUAGACCUUUUCCCCAACUGUUUAGGCAGGAUACAGUGUGCUGCUAUUCACUUCAACACUUUAGAAUGAGCCAAAGCAAUUGUGAGGUGGAUUAAUGAUGAAUCUACUAGCAUACCUGGAGUAACUCCAAAAUAUAGUUGUCAGGAUAAUAUGAAUUUGAUAAAACCUGUGGACGCCUUUGAAAAAUUGAAUGAGUUGUAUAGUGAACAGUCUUGCUGUUCUCUAA
This 548-nucleotide long non-coding RNA is filed under the name Homo sapiens (human). Its description in RNAcentral is "non-protein coding lnc-PPP4R3C-8:1". Lineage: Eukaryota; Metazoa; Chordata; Mammalia; Primates; Hominidae. The record is from RNAcentral.